GAUGAACGCUGGCGGCGUGCCUAAUACAUGCAAGUCGAGCGAACAGACGCGGCGCUUGCUCCUCUGACGUUUGCCGAGGACGUGUGUGUAACACGUGGAUCACCUCCCUAUCAGACUGGGAUCAUCUCGGAAAACCGGCGCAAAUCCCGUAGGAUCUAUUGCACCGCAUGGUUCAAUAGAAAAAGACGGUGUUGGUGUCACUUAUAGCGGGAUCCGCGCCGCUUUAGCUAGUAGGUACGGUAACGGCUUAUCAAGGGAACCAUGCGUGACCGACCUGAGAGGCGGAUCGGCCACACGGGAACUGAGACACGCUCAAGACGCCUGAGGGAGGCAGCAAUAGGGAAUCGGCCGCAGUGGGCGAAAGCCUUACGGAGCGAGGCCGCGUGAGUGAUGAAGGUCUUGGGAGCGUAAAACUCUGUUAUGAGGGGAGAACAAAUUUGUAAGUAAAUAUGCACGGCGUGACGGUACCUAAUCAGAAAGCCACGGCUAACUACGUG
RNAcentral lists this ribosomal RNA (497 nucleotides) under uncultured bacterium. Its description in RNAcentral is "partial 16S ribosomal RNA". It matches the Rfam family "Bacterial small subunit ribosomal RNA", at positions 28 to 507 of the family's 1533-position model. The record is from RNAcentral.